RNAcentral lists this non-coding RNA (1063 nucleotides) under Pan troglodytes (chimpanzee). The record is from RNAcentral. Lineage: Eukaryota; Metazoa; Chordata; Mammalia; Primates; Hominidae.
ACCCCCCUUCUUCCCCGGGGCCUUCCACCUCCGCGAGUUUUAUGACUUAAAAAACCCCACAGGCUGGUCUGAAGAGGAAGACAAACAUAAAGAUGAAGUGCUUAAUUCAAGGUCACACAAUGUCGGGGAUGGACCUCCAGAUUUCCUUACUGACCUGCAUUAUCUUGUGGAUACCUGAGUGAAUUCCACACCACCCAUUUUAUAGAUGAAACCACUGAGACAUGGAGCAACUGACUGAGUAGUCACUGCCCCACCCCUGCCUGGAGCCUCACACAUGACUCGUCUCCUCUCAGUGACCACAGGUUGGUUGAGGGGUUUAACAAGGCUAAGAAGGUGAGACGUGGUCUUGUAACACAGUGGUUAAGAAUGUGACUUUGGAGCCAGCCUGCUAGGGGCUGAAUUCUGACUCAGCCAUUUACUAACUGUGUGACCUUAGGUGGAGUCUCACUCUGUAGCCCAAGCUGGAGUGGUGUGAUCUCGACUCACUGCAACCUCCGCCUCCUGGGCUCAAGUGAUUCUCGUGCCUCAGCCUCCUGAGUAGCUGGGACUACAGGUCACAGAAUUUUCCACACUCCUUGACGGAGGUGCUUAACCCUUAUCCAUCAGCAUUCUCAGACAGCACCUCCGGUUAGGGACAGUAUCUGACCGUCCGACAUCCCUGCAGCCCCCAUGUGUCACACAGACUCAGCCUCAGGUAGAUGGUUUCCGUAGAUGGUGGCUUUCUUUGGACCCUUGACAUCAACCAGUUACUAUUUGCUCCUGCAACCACCGCUCUACUUUCUGUCUCUAUGAACUUGACUACUCUAGACACCUCAUGGGACCAGAUGUGCAGAGGUAAUGAAUACCAGGGAAUCAGGAAACCACUGGAUCAGUUCUUUGAGCCACAGAACAACACUCAUCCCAGCAGCUGGGAAGCUAUCUGCAAAAGUCCAUCUGCAGAAAGGGCUUCCUGGUCUUGCGUGUGGCUGGGCCAUUUCUCUGGAUGCAGGUUUUUCAUUAUACAGUCUUCUCAAAGAAACACCUGCUCUCAACACCUUCUCGGUGACUCCAUUUCCCCUCCUCU